This 468-nucleotide ribosomal RNA is filed under the name uncultured bacterium. Its description in RNAcentral is "partial 16S ribosomal RNA". It matches the Rfam family "Bacterial small subunit ribosomal RNA", at positions 28 to 507 of the family's 1533-position model. The record is from RNAcentral.
GACGAACGCUGGCGGCGUGCUUAACACAUGCAAGUCGAACGGAAAGGCCCUGCUUUUGUGGGGUGCUCGAGUGGCGAACGGGUGAGUAACACGUGAGUAACCUGUCCUUGACUUUGGGAUAACUUCAGGAAACUGGGGCUAAUACCGGAUAGGAGCUCCUGCUGCAUGGUGGGGGUUGGAAAGUUUCGGCGGUUGGGGAUGGACUCGCGGCUUAUCAGCUUGUUGGUGGGGUAGUGGCUUACCAAGGGUUUGACGGGUAGCCGGCCUGAGAGGGUGACCGGGCCACAUGGGAAUGAGAGAAGGGCCAGGACUCAAAGGGAGGCAAGGGGGGGGAAUUUUUGAAAAUGGGGCGAAGUCCUGGUUAAACACCGCGGGGGGGGGAAGAACGGCUUUCGGGUUGAAAACGCCUUUCGCUGGGAACAAGGGGUAAUGGCGGUAAAGGGUUAAGAAGCAACGGCUAACUAAGUG